This 253-nucleotide ribosomal RNA is filed under the name uncultured bacterium. RNAcentral's name for it is "partial 16S ribosomal RNA". It matches the Rfam family "Bacterial small subunit ribosomal RNA", at positions 524 to 776 of the family's 1533-position model. The record is from RNAcentral.
UACGGAGGGGGCAAGCGUUGUUCGGAAUUACUGGGCGUAAAGGGUUCGUAGGUGGCCUGCUAAGUCAGACGUGAAAUCCCUCAGCUUAACUGGGGAACUGCGUCUGAGACUGGUGGGCUUGAGUGCAGGAGAGGAACGCGGAAUUCCAGGUGUAGCGGUGAAAUGCGUAGAUAUCUGGAGGAACACCGGUGGCGAAGGCGGCGUUCUGGACUGCUACUGACACUGAGGAACGAAAGCCAGGGGAGCAAACGGG